RNAcentral lists this ribosomal RNA (481 nucleotides) under uncultured bacterium. RNAcentral's name for it is "partial 16S ribosomal RNA". It matches the Rfam family "Bacterial small subunit ribosomal RNA", at positions 28 to 507 of the family's 1533-position model. The record is from RNAcentral.
GAUGAACGCUGGCGGCGUGCUUAACACAUGCAAGUCGAACGAAGCACUUUAUUUGAUUUCCUUCGGGACUGAUUAUUUUGUGACUGAGUGGCGGACGGGUGAGUAACGCGUGGGUAACCUGCCUUGUACAGGGGGAUAACAGUUGGAAACGGCUGCUAAUACCGCAUAAUCGCACAGCAUCGCAUGAUGCAGUGUGAAAAACUCCGGUGGUAUAAGAUGGACCCGCGUUGGAUUAGCUAGUUGGUGAGGUAACGGCACACCAAGGCGACGAUCCAUAGCCGACCGGAGAGGGUGACCGGUCACAUUGGGACUGCGACACUGCCCAAACUCCGACGGGAGGCAGCAGUGGAGAAUAUUGCACAAUGGGCGAAAGCGUGAUGCAGUGACGCCGCGUGAGAGAAGAAGUAUUUCGGUAUGUAAAGCUCUAUCAGCAGGGAAGAUAAUGACGGUACCUGACAAAGAAGCACCGGCUAAAUACGUG